GACUGGACUGCGGGUGGGACUGGACUGGAACUGGACUGGGAGUGGGACUGGGAAUGGGACAGGGGGCACUUGCGAACCACAGUGGUAAAAGGCUGUUCCUCUGGCCAACAGGGACACGGGUUUGGAGUUCUGCUCGGCAGCUACAGAUCGGACCAGCAGGCCCGCCCUGCACCUGCCUCAGCGCUGGGGCAGCUGUGUCUCCCGGGGCAGGAGGGCACGAGGGCUGGUGGGGUCUGUAUGGAGUACAGUGAGCUCACAAGUGCACUCCAGACCACUGAAACACACAGGAUCGAUCCUCAGGAGUGCAGCUCCCGCUGACUGGGUGACUGUUGAGUCAGACAGCCAGUCCCCAUUGGAAUCGUGACUGUUAUACCGCCACCCCACCACCGGGGGGCGCUAAACAGAUACUCCGAUUGUAUUCCCAUCCAUUAUUGAGGUGUGAGGGGCCUUUCCUCCUUAUCUUUUCCCUUACGGCCUACAAGAACCUGGGGGACACGUGCGCCUGAAACUGGCUCCGUUCUUGUUCGUUUUCCACCACAGAAUUCUCUUUCUCUUCCUCGGGGACGCUAGAGAGCGCAGCUGAGGAACUGAGAGGCGAGCGGAGCAGAAAAGCCCCCUUUUAAAUGUCAGCAGUGCGAGAGCAGCUGCAGAGUGAAAUACUGAGUCAGAAGACUGUUUCUCUUUCCUUCCAGAGAAGCAGAACUAGACGAGAAACUCGCUCAGCUCUGCACGUCUGACAGAGCAGCAGCUCCUCAGGCCUGAUGAGGCACCUGACAAGAGCUCAGCGCAGAGGGGAGCUCCUGUCUGCCGUCUCUCACUCGGACCCAGGGCAGCGACAGAUAGGGGCAGAUAGACACGAGUGUGUUCCUGUCGAUUGCUGAAGCACAGCCCCCUGCACACCGCAGCCUGAAAGAUGUGAAGCAAUCUGAGUGUCUACUCCACACUGGAAAGGAAACGAGAAACUGGUUCUGGCUGUGGAGUGGUGUCUGUGUGUCGGGAGGCCAUCAGGUUACAGAGAAUCAGGACACCUUGAGGCAGAACAGGAGUCUGAAGAGGUUGAGACUGAAAGCAAUCACUUCUACGCCUGUGCUCAACUGCCUGAUUACUGUGGCAUUGUAAUAAAUUGGAGACAAUAAAACUAAGAAUAUUUAACACCA
This is a non-coding RNA of Lepisosteus oculatus (spotted gar), 1157 nucleotides long. The record is from RefSeq and is a predicted model, not a curated record. NCBI's taxonomy places the organism in Eukaryota, Metazoa, Chordata, Actinopteri, Semionotiformes, Lepisosteidae.